Molecule: ribosomal RNA, 254 nt
Filed under: uncultured bacterium
Lineage: Bacteria
Description: partial 16S ribosomal RNA
Rfam family: Bacterial small subunit ribosomal RNA
Source: RNAcentral
UACGUAGGGAGCAAGCGUUGUCCGGAAUCAUUGGGCGUAAAGCGCGCGUAGGUGGCCCUGUAAGUCCGUUGUGAAAGUCAAAGGCUCAACCUUUGAAAGCCGAUGGAUACUGCAGGGCUAGAGUACGGAAGAGGCGAGUGGAAUUCCUGGUGUAGCGGUGGAAUGCGCAGAUAUCAGGAGGAACACCAAUAGCGAAGGCAGCUCGCUGGGACGUUACUGACACUGAGGCGCUGAAAGCGUGGGGAGCGAACAGG